RNAcentral lists this ribosomal RNA (497 nucleotides) under uncultured bacterium. RNAcentral describes it as "partial 16S ribosomal RNA". It matches the Rfam family "Bacterial small subunit ribosomal RNA", at positions 28 to 507 of the family's 1533-position model. The record is from RNAcentral.
GAUGAACGCUGGCGGCGUGCCUAAUACAUGCAAGUCGAGCGAACAGAUGAGGAGCUUGCUCCUCUGACGUUAGCGGCGGACGGGUGCGUAACACGUGGAUAACCUACCUAUAAGACUGGGAUAACUUCGGGAAACCGGAGCUAAUACCGGAUAAUAUAUUGAACCGCAUGGUUCAAUAGUGAAAGACGGUUUUGCUGUCACUUAUAGAUGGAUCCGCGCCGCAUUAGCUAGUUGGUAAGGUAACGGCUUACCAAGGCAACGAUGCGUAGCCGACCUGAGAGGGUGAUCGGCCACACUGGAACUGAGACACGGUCCAGACUCCUACGGGAGGCAGCAGUAGGGAAUCUUCCGCAAUGGGCGAAAGCCUGACGGAGCAACGCCGCGUGAGUGAUGAAGGUCUUCGGAUCGUAAAACUCUGUUAUUAGGGAAGAACAAAUGUGUAAGUAACUAUGCACGUCUUGACGGUACCUAAUCAGAAAGCCACGGCUAACUACGUG